This 404-nucleotide ribosomal RNA is filed under the name uncultured bacterium. Its description in RNAcentral is "partial 16S ribosomal RNA". It matches the Rfam family "Bacterial small subunit ribosomal RNA", at positions 28 to 526 of the family's 1533-position model. The record is from RNAcentral.
GACGAACGCUGGCGGCGUGCUUAACACAUGCAAGUCGAGCGGAGCGGCGAACGGGUGCGUAACGCGUGAGUAACUGCCCCCCUCUCUGGGAUAACAGUUGGAAACUGCUGCUAAUACCGGAUAGUGGGGGAUGACUCGCGUCCUAUAGGCUUGUCGGUGGGGUAGUGGACUACCAAGGCGACGACGGGUAGCCGGCCUGGGCGGGCGACCGGCCACAUGGGGCUGAGAUACGACCCAAACUCCUACAGGAGACAGCAGGGGGGAGUAUUGCACAAUGGGGGAAAGCGUGAUGCAGCAACGCGCGUGCGGGAUGACUGCCUUGGGGUUGUAAACCGCUUUCAGCCAUGACGCGGUAGUAGCAGAAGAAGCACCGGCUAACUACGUGCCAGCAGCCGCGGUAAUAC